CAGCCGCCGCGGUAAUCCGUAGGGUGCGAGCGUUAAUCGGAAUUACUGGGCGUAAAGCGUGCGCAGGCGGUUAUAUAAGACAGAUGUGAAGUCCCCGGGCUCAACCUGGGACCUGCAUUUGUGACUGUAUAGCUAGAGUACGGUAGAGGGGGAUGGAAUUCCGCGUGUAGCAGUGAAAUGCGUAGAUAUGCGGAGGAACACCGAUGGCGAAGGCAAUCCCCUGGACCUGUACUGACGCUCAUGCACGAAAGCGUGGGGAGCAAACAGGAUUAGAUACCCGCGUAGUCCCUGUCUCUUAUAC
RNAcentral lists this ribosomal RNA (301 nucleotides) under uncultured bacterium. RNAcentral's name for it is "partial 16S ribosomal RNA". It matches the Rfam family "Bacterial small subunit ribosomal RNA", at positions 509 to 807 of the family's 1533-position model. The record is from RNAcentral.